AGUUUGGAUCAUGGCUCAGUAAGUCGUAACAAGGUAACCGAUAGAGUUUGGAUCAUGGCUCAGUAAGUCGGAACGGGGAAACCGAAAUGGGUAACCUACCCUUAAGUGGGGGAUAACAUUUGGAAACAGAUGCUAAUACCGCAUAACCAUUCAGACCACAUGGUCUGAAUGUAAAAGACGGCCUUUGGCUGUCACUUUUGGACGGACCCGCGGCGUAUUAGUUAGUUGGUAAGGUAACGGCUUACCAAGACAAUGAUACGUAUCCGACCUGAGAGGGUAAUCGGCCACAUUGGGACUGAGACACGGCCCAAACUCAAACGGGAGGCAGCAGUAGGGAAUCUUCCACAAUGGACGAAAGUCUGAUGGAGCAACGCCGCGUGAGUGAAGAAGGUUUUAGGAUCGUAAAACUCUGUUGUUGGAGAAGAACAGGGACUAGAGUAACUGUUAGUCCUUUGACGGUAUCCAACCAGAAAGCCACGGCUAACUACGUGCCAGCAGCCGCGGUAAUACGUAGGUGGCAAGCGUUGUCCGGAUUUAUUGGGCGUAAAGCGAGCGCAGGCGGUUUUUUAAGUCUGAUGUGAAAGCCUUCGGCUUAACCGAAGAAGUGCAUUAGAAACUGGGAAACUUGAGUGCAGAAGAGGACAGUGGAACUCCAUGUGUAGCGGUGAAAUGCGUAGAUAUAUGGAAGAACACCAGUGGCGAAGGCGGCUGUCUGGUCUGCAACUGACGCUGAGGCUCGAAAGUAUGGGGAGCGAACAGGAUUAGAUACCCUGGUAGUCCAUACCGUAAACGAUGAAUGCUAAGUGUUGGAGGGUUCCGCCCUUCAGGGCUGCAGCUA
This 838-nucleotide ribosomal RNA is filed under the name Loigolactobacillus coryniformis. RNAcentral describes it as "bacterial SSU rRNA". It matches the Rfam family "Bacterial small subunit ribosomal RNA", at positions 41 to 854 of the family's 1533-position model. Lineage: Bacteria; Bacillati; Bacillota; Bacilli; Lactobacillales; Lactobacillaceae. The record is from RNAcentral.